Molecule: transfer-messenger RNA, 362 nt
Filed under: Spirochaetaceae bacterium
Lineage: Bacteria; Pseudomonadati; Spirochaetota; Spirochaetia; Spirochaetales; Spirochaetaceae
Rfam family: transfer-messenger RNA
About the family: Bacterial tmRNA, also known as 10Sa RNA or SsrA, is named for its dual tRNA and mRNA-like properties. Its role is to liberate the mRNA from a stalled ribosome.
Source: RNAcentral
GGGGGUGUACCGGUUUCGACUGGUGCGGCUCAAUUUGCAGGCAGCAGGUGGAGCGGGUACGGCUCCUAACAUUUGUGCCAAAACUUAUAAUUGCCAAAAAUAACAGCAAUUACGGUUACGAAUACGCUUUAGCGGCGUAACCGCGUGGAACCGCUCCGCGGCCUUGAGGAGCGGCUUCCGCGACGCAACCAAGGCUGGCUGUUUGCUGGUUUUCGUACAGCAGACAGCAAGAUUUUACGAAACAAGGAAUGGCCGCAUGCCGCGAAGCAAAGCCAUUCACCAAAACCAGAUGCGCGGCUAAACUUGUAGAUGCUUGCCGGUUGCGUACUAGGACGCGAGUUCGACUCUCGCCACCUCCAUUU